This 502-nucleotide ribosomal RNA is filed under the name uncultured bacterium. RNAcentral's name for it is "bacterial SSU rRNA". It matches the Rfam family "Bacterial small subunit ribosomal RNA", at positions 28 to 576 of the family's 1533-position model. The record is from RNAcentral.
AACGAACGCUGGCGGCAUGCCUAACACAUGCAAGUCGAACGAGACCUUCGGGUCUAGUGGCGCACGGGUGCGUAACGCGUGGGAAUCUGCCCUCAGGUACGGAAUAACUCAGGGAAACUUGAGCUAAUACCGUAUAAUGACUUCGGUCCAAAGAUUUAUCGCCUGGGGAUGAGCCCGCGUCGGAUUAGCUAGUUGGUGAGGUAAAGGCUCACCAAGGCGACGAUCCGUAGCUGGUCUGAGAGGAUGAUCAGCCACACUGGGACUGAGACACGGCCCAGACUCCUACGGGAGGCAGCAGUGGGGAAUAUUGGACAAUGGGCGCAAGCCUGAUCCAGCAAUGCCGCGUGAGUGAUGAAGGCCUUAGGGUUGUAAAGCUCUUUUACCCGGGAAGAUAAUGACUGUACCGGGAGAAUAAGCCCCGGCUAACUCCGUGCCAGCAGCCGCGGUAAUACGGAGGGGGCUAGCGUUGUUCGGAAUUACUGGGCGUAAAGCGCACGUAGGC